CUUUUAGUAUUAAGCUGCCGGGGCUAUGGCUCCUGUGGCCUCUGGGCGAGUUAGGCGUCGAGUUCGAGGCUCCAAGCGGCCCGAUGCGCGGGGCCGCUCGGCCGAGGACUGGUGGUGGGACCGGCUGGCACCUCGCGGCUCUGGGUACCACCUGCUGCAAGCAGACAGCAUGCUGCUCGUGCUGCCGGACCUGGAGCCUGCCCGCGCUCGAGCGCACAGGCGCGCCCCUCGCCGCGCUCCCAAGUCACUGGCUCGUGGUCCCACGGCUGUCGCCAAGCCCAGGACCAAACCCCGACCGGAGCCGUCACUCGAUCAGGGCCUGGACUCCGGCUGGGGAGACCGUAUUCCCUUAGAAAUCCUGGUGCAUAUUUUCGGGCUGUUGGUGGCGGCUCAUGGGCCCAUGCCGUUUCUUGGCAGGGCUGCACGCGUUUGCCGUCAUUGGCAUGAAGCCACCUCCCACCCUUCACUCUGGCAUACUGUGACCCUGUCACCCCCGCUGGUUGGCCGGGCUGGCAAGGGCAACCUUAAGGGAGAGAAGAAACUCCUUGCUUGCCUGGAGUGGCUCAUACCCAAUCGGUUUUCACAACUCCAGAGGUUGACCCUCAUCCACUGGAAGUCUCAAGUACACUCUGUGUUGGAGCUGGUUAGCAAGUUCUGCCCUCGGCUCACCUUCCUCAAGCUUUCAGACUGCCACAGUGUGACUGCUGAAACUCUGGUCAUGUUAGCAAAAGCCUGCUGCCAGCUCCACAGCCUGGACCUACAUCAUUCCAUGGUGGAGUCCACAGCUGUGGUAAGCUUCUUAGAGGAGGCAGGGUCCCGAAUGCGAAAACUGUGGCUGACCUACAGUUCCCAGACAACGGCCAUCUUGGGUGCACUGCUGGGCAACUGCUGCCCCCAGCUCGAAGUCCUCCAGAUGAGCACAGGCGUAAAUUGCAAUAGCACACCCCUGCAGCUGCCUGUGGAAGCCCUGCAGAGAGGCUGCCCCCAGCUGCAGGUGCUGCGGCUGCUGAAUCUGAUCUGGCUCCCCAAGCCGUGUGGCCGAGGGGUGCCCCAGGGACCAGGCUUCCCCAGUCUGGAGGAGCUCUGCUUGGCGGGCUCCACCUGCAACUUUGUGAGCAAUGAGGUUCUGGGCCGCUUGCUCCAUCGUUCCCCAAAACUGCGCCUACUGGAUCUUCGAGGCUGUGCUAGGAUCACUCCUGCUGGUCUGUGUCAUCUGCCAUGUCAAGAGCUGGAGCAACUCUACCUGGGCCUAUAUGGCCUGUCUGAUGGCUUGACGCUGGCUAAGAAUGGCAGCCCCCUGUUGACCCAGAAGUGGUAUCACACCUUGAGGGAGCUGGACUUGAGUGGCCAAGGCUUCAGCGAGAAAGACUUGGAACAGGCCCUGGCUGUUUUCUCAGGCACCUCUGGGGGCCUGCACCCAGCCUUGUGCUCCCUCAAUCUAAGGGGUACUCGUGUUACACCAAGCACAGUCAGGUCCCCAAGGAGCAGCAGGCCAGUGGCUCCCGUUUAUCCACCUUUGUUAAGUGCCUCCGACUCUGGAACUUCAGACUCUUCUCUACCGAGCGCCACUUAGCCAAUCAGCUCAAGAACAACGCCUUUUACCCCUUCAAGCAGCAGCAGCCGGAUGGUGGUCUUUGUACUCGAGUACUACUUGGACACGCUCUGGAAGGGGACGGUGCUCUUUAUCAUCUGCCUUGUCUUCAUUUCCUGUAAUGUCCUGAGAGAGCCUAUGGAGGUCGCUUCUUCCAGCUGGUCCUUUGUGGCCACAAGCUAGAGCCACUUGUGCUGGUGCAGCUCUCAGAUCGCUAUGAGGUGGGUCCUGCCCCAAACCCCGCCCUCAGUCCCCCAGCCCCCAACAAAAAGAAACUACUGUUUGCAGUUCUUGGACGGGGCUGUUUUGCACUCAGAGGGUAAAUAUAGCACUCCUGAGACCUCCACUAUGUUAAGGGUAGCAGGAGCGCUGGGAAUUUUGGGCAGGGGUGGGGCGGGGAUACUCCCCCGUUAAGGGGGGAAGGGACACCUAAAAAGCAUGCUGGUGGGGAUUCUCUUAUCCGGAGAACGGAGAACUGGCUGCCACUCGCUUAUUCAUAGCAAAUGGAAUUCUUGGGCCGGCACAUUGCCCGGAAACUCAACAUCAACUACUUUGACUAUCUGGCCUCCUCCUAUCGUCAUGUAGUCCGCCACUGGCCACUGGGAGCCUCCUUUAGCCCUGGCAUUGUG
RNA transcript from Mastomys coucha (southern multimammate mouse), 2220 nucleotides. It is a transcript of the gene named F-box and leucine rich repeat protein 6, with no coding region annotated. The transcript has 11 exons. The record is from RefSeq and is a predicted model, not a curated record. Lineage: Eukaryota; Metazoa; Chordata; Mammalia; Rodentia; Muridae.